CAAGAAAUAGUUUAAUAAUGAAAAAUUUGAACUUUGGAAGUUCAUGAUGAUAUAUAUCUUUCUUGA
This 66-nucleotide transfer RNA is filed under the name Derotettix mendosensis. RNAcentral describes it as "tRNA-Pro". The record is from RNAcentral. Lineage: Eukaryota; Metazoa; Arthropoda; Insecta; Hemiptera; Cicadidae.